Molecule: long non-coding RNA, 304 nt
Organism: Ochotona princeps (American pika)
Lineage: Eukaryota; Metazoa; Chordata; Mammalia; Lagomorpha; Ochotonidae
Exons: 3
Source: RefSeq, a predicted model, not a curated record
GGGGAAGCGAGGUCGUGAAGACGCCGACUCGGCCCUCACGGGGAGCGCGCCGUGCAGGCCGCUCCCUUCCCACUGCGGGGGCUCUGGGUUUGACAGAGAAUGUUCCAGCACCUCUCAGCACUGCUUCAUUUAUCCUACCAAUAACGAAGAAUGCAAAUAUGAAUGAAGAGAAGGGAUUUGUGAACCAGUUUCUCUAGCUACUUCACAAGGUGGGACGGCAGUGGAGAGCUGAGAGUCUGCACUUGUUGAUGAUGACCAGCUUGGUGACAUUUCUGUUACUGACCAGGGGGUAUCAUCUCCAGGG